GGCCAUUUUUCCGCUGGGGACUUUUGGCACCUCGACCUUCGGGCGCUUAUUUUUUGGCGCGGCUGUGAAUUUUCUUUUCUCUUCAUGAGGCUCAUUUUCUGCUUUUUUCCUGGAUUUUUUAGGCCUUCCAACCUUUUUUUGCACAAUUGGUAGAUCAAUCAAUGGUCUUCCUGUACGCUCCCAUGUGCAUUGAUCCGGAAGAGGGCUAAACAUCACUGAAUAUGUGUUGAGUAAGUCUGUGUAGCAAACCAUGCUGGAACAUACUCCUCAAUUGCAUGUCUUGCAUAUCCAAUGGCAGCCAUUGCAUGUUGACAAGGGAGGCCGUCAAUUUCCCAAUAACCGCAAUCACAUGUUCGGGACUCUAACUUCACCACAAACCUUCUAGGUGGACUAUAGGCUGCAUCAAUGACUUGAAAAUUCAGCUCACCAGAAGCUUGUGCAAUCAUUUUCUGUGCAAGCUUUCUUUUUCUGUCCAACUCUCUUACAACUUUAGGUGUCAGCUGUCCCUUCCAAGUGGCUGCCUCGUGUCUCCUCUUUGUAAACU
RNAcentral lists this long non-coding RNA (544 nucleotides) under Citrus maxima (pomelo). Its description in RNAcentral is "long non-coding RNA (CMAX_LNC000317)". Lineage: Eukaryota; Viridiplantae; Streptophyta; Magnoliopsida; Sapindales; Rutaceae. The record is from RNAcentral.